GACGAACGCUGGCGGCGUGCUUAACACAUGCAAGUCGAACGGUAAGGCCCUUCGGGGUACACGAGUGGCGAACGGGUGAGUAACACGUGGGUGAUCUGCCCUGCACUUCGGGAUAAGCCUGGGAAACUGGGUCUAAUACCGGAUAGGACCACUGCCUGCAUGGGUGGUGGUGGAAAGCUUUUGCGGUGUGGGAUGGGCCCGCGGCCUAUCAGCUUGGUGGUGGGGUGAUGGCCUACCAAGGCGACGACGGGUAGCCGGCCUGAGAGGGUGACCGGCGCCACUGGGACUAAGAUACGGCCCAGACUCCUACGGGAGGCAGCAGUGGGGAAUAUUGCACAAUGGGCGCAAGCCUGAUGCAGCGACGCCGCGUGAGGGAUGACGGCCUUCGGGUUGUAAACCUCUUUCAGCAUCGACGAAGCGCAAGUGACGGUAGGUGCAGAAGAAGGACCGGCCAACUACGUGCCAGCCGCCGCAGUAA
RNAcentral lists this ribosomal RNA (478 nucleotides) under uncultured bacterium. Its description in RNAcentral is "partial 16S ribosomal RNA". It matches the Rfam family "Bacterial small subunit ribosomal RNA", at positions 28 to 523 of the family's 1533-position model. The record is from RNAcentral.